AGGACGAACGCUGGCGGCGUGCUUAACACAUGCAAGUCGAGCGGAAAGGCCCUUCGGGGUACUCGAGCGGCGAACGGGUGAGUAACACGUGAGUAAUCUGCCCCUAGCUCUGGGAUAGCUCCGGGAAACCGGGAUUAAUACCAGAUACGACCACUUUAGACAUCUGUUGUGGUGGAAAGAAUUUCGGCUAGGGAUGAGCUCGCGGCCUAUCAGCUUGUUGGUGAGGUAACGGCUCACCAAGGCGACGACGGGUAGCCGGCCUGAGAGGGCGACCGGCCACACUGGGACUGAGACACGGCCCAGACUCCUACGGGAGGCAGCAGUGGGGAAUAUUGCGCAAUGGGCGAAAGCCUGACGCAGCGACGCCGCGUGGGGGAUGAAGGCCUUCGGGUUGUAAACCCCUGUUGCCCGGGACGAAUGUGCAUUUUUGAAUGCAUUGACGGUACCGGGUGAGGAAGCACCGGCUAACUCCGUGCCAGCAGCCGC
This 486-nucleotide ribosomal RNA is filed under the name uncultured bacterium. Its description in RNAcentral is "SSU rRNA". It matches the Rfam family "Bacterial small subunit ribosomal RNA", at positions 26 to 518 of the family's 1533-position model. The record is from RNAcentral.